AUGGCGGCGAUGAGCAUGAAGACGAUGAUGGCGCUAGCGCCGCUCUUGUGCCUGGCCGUGGCCGUGUCGCUGGGCGGCGUGGAGGCGAGGAAGCACCCCGGGAAGGAGACCCUGGGGUACUACGAGCUGCGCAGGGGCGAGUUCUCCAUGGUGGUCACCAACUGGGGCGCCACCAUCCUCUCCGUCAGGCUCCCCGACAAGAACGGGCGCAUCGACGACGUCGUUCUUGGCUACAAGACCAUCGGAGGCUACGUGAAUGACACCACCUACUUCGGCGCGCUGGUGGGGCGGGUGGCGAACCGGAUCGCCGGCGGGCGGUUCACGAUCAAGAACCACCCCUACCACACCUACACGAACGACGGCAACAACACGCUCCACGGCGGCCACCGCGGGUUCAACCAGGUGUUCUGGUCGGUGCGGGAGCGGGCCACCGGCGCCUUCCCCUACAUCACCUUCUACUACCGCAGCGGCGACGGCGAGGAGGGCUUCCCGGGCGCGUUGGACGUGCUCGUCACCUACAAGAUCGACGGCGACUACUCGUACAGCGUCACCAUGUACGCCCGGCCCGUGGACAAGCCGACGCCCGUGAACCUGGCGCAGCACACGUACUGGAACCUGCGCGGGCACGGGCGGGGCACCAUCCUCGACCACUCCGUCCAGAUCUUCGCGUCCGCCGUCACCCCCGUCGGCGGCGACCUCAUCCCUACGGGCGCCGUCACGCCCGUCGCCGGCACGCCCUUCGACUUCCGCGCCCCGACGGCGCCCGGCGCGCGCAUCGCGGAGGUGGAGGGGGGCUACGACAUCAACUACGUCCUGGACGGGCGCGACGCGGACGGGCAGGGGGUGCGCAAGGUGGCGGUGGUGAGCGAGGCCACGUCCGGGCGGGUGAUGGAGCUGUGGGGCGACCAGCCCGGCGUGCAGUUCUACACCGGCAACUUCCUCAAGGGCGACGAGGGCAAGGGCGGCGCCGUGUACGAGAAGCACGGAGGGCUGUGCCUGGAGACGCAGGACUUCCCCGACGCCGUGCACAACCCCAAGUUCCCCACCGAGAUCUACCGCGCGGGCCAGGUGUACAAGCACUACAUGCUCUACAAGUUCUCGAUCGCCGGCAAGUAG
Molecule: ribosomal RNA, 1116 nt
Filed under: Triticum aestivum (bread wheat)
Lineage: Eukaryota; Viridiplantae; Streptophyta; Magnoliopsida; Poales; Poaceae
Description: partial small subunit ribosomal RNA
Source: RNAcentral